AAAAUUAUUAGCAAAAAUUGAUUGCUUUUAAUUUAGAUUUAAAAAUACAUUAUUGAAAUAAUUAAAAUUUAAUAAUUGAAAUUAAUUUCUUUAUUUUGCUUUUAUGAUAUAUAAAAACUGAACACUGAAAUAUUUUAUUAUACUAUGCUUAAUAAAAUAAUUGAAAUUCUUAAAUCUACUUAUGUUGGCUGAAGAGCUGUGUUGUAAAGCAUUUGCUUUAUUACCUUGGAGGAUUUGUCUCAUACCUUCAGUUUUUUGGAAGAUGUCUGGGCCUAACUCAUCAAAUUCAAUCUUUCACCCUUUCAGUUGACCCUACCAUGAAUGUUGGCCAAUCUUUUGUGGGCUCUAAAAGUGGUUACCAACAGGUACAGAAUAUUAUAAAUGUGAUAUGGCAGUUUAACUAACAUAACCUAACUUAAUCUACUUAUAUUUUUAUCAGUUCAUAAAUUAAAAAAAUAUUCUUAAUGAAUUUAAAGGCUUACAUAUGGAAUAGUUUCAUAAAGUUCUAUGACUGGUGCUGUAUUACCAAAUUUGGUGAUAUGAAAACAUUUUAAAACAGCCACUUUCAAAGUACUAUCCUUCCACAGUCAUACACUUUUGCCAAUGCUCAUAUAACUGUUCAAGACUUUUCUGAAACCCUUGGUUGGAGACCCAUUUAAUAGUAUCCUUUGAAGCUGCUUUCACAGCAUCAUCAUCAUGGAAACAUUGCCCAUUUUUAAUAGCACCUUCAAUUUUGAGAAAAGGUAAAAGACACAAGAUGAAAAGUCUAGCAAAUAGGGAGGAUAUGGAAGUAUUGCUAUGCCCAUUUUAGCCAGAUAUAAUUUUGAAACAGACAUGAACAAUGUGCUGGAAUAAUAUUGUGAAGAGUACCCAGUUCUUAUCUGCCUAAUGUUCUAAGCACUUCAAUAAAUUGCUUCUCUUAAAUACAUUUGUACAACAUUGGUAGAUAGCACUCCUUGUUGACAGCAUCAUCUUAUGGAAUGAACACAACAAAAAAUGCUUUUUUAAUUAAAAAAAAAACACCUCCAUUAUUACUUUUCCUUUAAGUUCAUUUAGAAUUUUUCUUAAAGAUGAUGUAAACUUCACAUGGAUAUUUGAUUUGAAGAUCAUCACUGUCUCAUGCCUGGAGAUGAUUUUGUGCAGAAGUAUCAGAUCCUUAUCAAUGAGGUCACUACAAACACUUCUGAUGCUGGUCCAUAUUGAGAUUUUGAGGAGCAUUGUAUUAAUGCACUCUGUGUAUGUUAAAAAUCACUUGUUAGAAUUGCAUGACAAUUUCCAAUCAAAAUUCCAACCUUCUCCAUUAUCUGUUCAACUAUUUGAUGCUGAUCUGUUACCGUAAUUUCCUACAUAUUUUUAACAUUUCAGGAUGAUGAUAGCCUCCAACAUGAUCAUCGUCAUCAAGCAAUUUUUGACUAUGUUUGAAUCUCUUGAAUUAUUCAAACACUUUUGAUUGAAAAAACAGAUUCCCCCCAUAAACUUUUCACAUAAUUUUUCAGGUUGUAGUAGCAGAUUUAUCUAAACACUGAUAGAAUUUAAACUUUGGUCAUUGUUUAAAUUGCAACAUCUUUUCACUUUGAUGAAUGCAUGAAAUGUAUAUUCCUCCAAUAUCGAGCACAUUCAUCCUAUGAUCAUGUGAUGGAUGAUUCCAUUUUCAUAGUAAGAGGGAGAUAUCAUUGUACAUUCCAAAAUGUGUAGGCGACACUUUAGUUAUAUUUGUCUUAAAAACACAAGUUCUGGAACUUUUUGAAACUAAUUCGUAUAUUUUUAGUUCUAGUUUUGAUCUGCAGCUAUUUUGGAUCCCACACUUCUAGAAUUUUUUUUUUUAUAUAGGUGGUGGUCUUAGUCUGACUGUUUAGUGAAUACCAUAUUUCACCUGGCAGAUCCCAUGGAUAACCAAUGAUAUUCUUAUAUGCCCAUAUCUGAAAAGUUGGAGAGUGGUAUAAAAUAAAAAAAAAAAAAAAAAAAAGCGUUUAUUAUUACAUUUGAGUGUAUGAGAUUAUAUUAAAUCUUGAUUAAGAGUUGUUUAUUUUUACCAAGAACAAAAGUUUAUUUUUAUCAAGAAGUUGUUUAUUUUUAAUUAUAUUGUAAAACUAUUUCAAAAAUAUCCAGCAGAAACUCUUCAUAAUCUGAAACUAAAAAUAUAAGAUGCAUAUAGCUGGCUCUGUGGCAGGAGGGAGGUGAUUUCACUUCAAUACAAGUUGGGGAGA
RNAcentral lists this long non-coding RNA (2207 nucleotides) under Androctonus crassicauda. Lineage: Eukaryota; Metazoa; Arthropoda; Arachnida; Scorpiones; Buthidae. The record is from RNAcentral.